UCAGAACGCGCUCGGCCGCUGGGUGGGUCGGGGCGUUCGGCGCGCCCUUCAUUGAAGCGGCGGUGGCUGGGCUGGGCGCCGGGAGUGGGAAGCGACGGCGCGGCUGGAAAAUGCCAGUCCAUUCCCGAGGGGAUAAGAAGGAGACGAACCAUCACGAUGAGAUGGAGGUGGACUACGCCGAAAAUGAGGGGAGCAGCUCAGAGGACGAGGACACGGAGAGCUCGUCGGUCUCCGAGGAUGGAGAUAGCUCAGAAAUGGAUGAUGAAGACUGUGAAAGAAGAAGAAUGGAAUGCUUAGAUGAAAUGUCCAAUCUAGAAAAACAGUUUACCGAUCUCAAGGAUCAACUUUAUAAAGAACGAUUAAGUCAGGUGGAUGCAAAACUACAAGAAGUCAUAGCUGGAAAAGCACCAGAAUAUUUGGAACCACUGGCAACUUUACAAGAAAAUAUGCAAAUUCGUACAAAGGUAGCAGGAAUCUAUAGAGAGCUCUGCUUAGAAUCUGUAAAGAACAAAUAUGAAUGUGAAAUUCAAGCCUCUCGCCAGCAUUGUGAGAGUGAAAAGCUUUUGUUAUAUGAUACAGUCCAGAGUGAACUGGAGGAGAAGAUAAGAAGGCUUGAAGAGGAUAGGCACAGCAUUGAUAUUACCUCAGAGCUGUGGAAUGAUGAGCUUCAGUCAAGAAAAAAGAGGAAGGAUCCUUUCAGUCCUGACAAAAAGAAGCCAGUUGUUGUUUCAGGUCCAUAUAUAGUUUAUAUGCUACAAGAUCUUGAUAUUCUUGAAGACUGGACAACAAUUAGGAAGGCAAUGGCUACACUGGGUCCACACAGAGUGAAGACAGAACUUUUUGAACUGAUCCCUUUAGCGCCUGUGAAACUGGAAAAACAUCUGCACAGUGCUAGAUCUGAAGAAGGAAGAUUAUAUUAUGAUGGUGAAUGGUAUAUACGUGGACAAACAAUAUGUAUUGAUAAAAAAGAUGAAUGUCCUACAAGCCUUCCUCAUGUGAGAGUUGUUCGGAUACACAUAUUACCUAUUGCUACUCAGAACUCAGACACCACUCCAAGAACGUGUACACCUCACUGAUAAUUGUUCAAAAAGAAGAACAAGGAUGUCAGCUGUUAUUUCCAAGGUUUGGUUUGUGGACCGAAUAAGUUCAGUACACUAAAACUGAACUAAAAUGAAUUUAUAAGGUAAGAAAAGUGGAUGCAGGAUGAAUAUACUAGUUAGGAUUUAUGUAGUCUCGUGCCAAAUUGGAAUAUAAACUAUUUUAAUUGCUAAAGAUUAGGAAAUCUAAAAUGUUUUUAAAAAGCACAUGAAAGGUUAGAAUGGGGUAAGAGAAAAACGUUAUGUUCCUUACAUUGUCUUUAUGGAUGAACUCAGGAAUUGUGGCUGGUAGGUCAGGUGGGAUUAACUGAGGCAGUUUCCCCCAUUGGGUCACUGCGGCCCAGUCUUGCCCUUUACUUCACAGGCCCAGAAACUUGAACUUUAUAUGUCCUGUUAUGAGCUGAAUUGUGCCUCCCUCCUUCCACCCCCUCCACCAAAUUCAUAUGCUGAAGCAUUACCCCCCAGCACCUCAGAAUGUGACUGUAUUUGAAGAUAGGGUCCUUUAGAGAGGUUGAUCAGUUAAAAUGAGAUCAUUUCAGGGUAGAUCCUAAUCCAAUCUGACUGAUGUCCUUACAAGAAGAGGAAAUUUGGACAUCAGACAUGUGCACAGCGGGGAGACUCUGAGGAUAGAGCAAGGUAACUCUCUGCCAGCCAAGGAGAGAGCCCUCAGAAGAAACCAAACCUGCCAACACCUUGAUCCUGGACUUUAACAUCCAGCACUGUGAGGAAGUAAGUUUGCGUUGUUUAAGCCACCCAAGUCUACGGUAUCUUGUUACGGCAGCCCUGGCAAACUGAUACAUGCCCCAACGUGACAGCUUUCUGGGUAAGUCAGGCUGACUGACCCACAGUGGAUCGAAGGGGCAGCCAAGUGUCAAUUUAAUCAUUUAAAUUGGGAAGUAUAAAUGAGAAGGAGACCUGACUCCUCAAGUCAAUUCUUUCCUUCUAGGAAAAUCUGUGUAAAGCCACCUUGUGAUCAGAAGAUUUGUUUUGGUGAAACUUCAGAGUCUCCGGUUUCCUGAUGAGGACGUUGUGAGGCACACAAAGGUUAAGAAAUUGCCCGUGGUCACACAGCUGGUAAGUGGCAGAGUUCGCAGUUAGUCUUGCCCUGAAGGCCAUGAGUUUAAUCACAUACCCCAGCAUCCCUAAGGUCUGAAUUUGGGUGGAUCAUUGCAUGAAUCAAGGGUGGGAACACAAGAGGAGUACAGCUGGGACUGGGGGAGGGAUGCAAAGAAGAGAUAAUAUUUGUGUUUCUUUUUUAUGUGUUAAGUUCAAAAGGUGUGACGGCCAGAUGGAAAUGCCCAGCAGGUAACAAUAUAUAACUUGGGUGAGGGCAGAGAUUUAGAUUUGGGAUUGUGAGAGCACGAGUGGUAGCUAAAGUCAAUGAAGCGAGCAAAAACUUCUAAAAGGGCUUGAAAGGACGGCUUACACAGUGUGAAGGAAAACCAGCAAUAAAAGAGAAGGGAGAAGAAUGACGAUGAAAAUUAAUUAUCACCAGAAUCUGUGUUUCUGGUGAUAAAGAGAAAUAGGCACCCUUGUAUACUGUUAGUGGGAGUGUAAAUUGGUACAAUUUAUUUGCAGGAAAAUGUAGCAAUACCUAAUAAACUAUAAAAUCCCCCACCAGUUGACUAAGCAGUUUUACUUGAAAUUUGUGCUACAAGUAUACUCUUUCCCAGGGUCAAAACUAUAUGUCCAAAAGGAUUCACCUCAGCCUUGUUUGAUAAGAGAGAAGAAAGAAGGAAGGAAGGGAGAAAAUCUAACUGUUCAGCAGUUCCAUACGGUGGAAUUGCACAUGGUUGUUUCCGUAACAUGAAUACCCUGCAGUCAUUAAAAAGGAUGAAGGAGAUCUGUGGGGGCUGAUCUGGAAUGAUCACCACGACAUAUUAUAUCAAAAAAGAAAACGAGAAGUGCAGCAGCAUACACACACCGUUCCUUUACUGUAAAUAAUAGGUCCUGCUGUGCCCUAGUUUAUUCACUUGGCAGGAACAGAACCAAUAGAGGGCCAGAAUCUCAGAGAAUCUUUUAAAGCUCAAAAUGGAGGUAGAAAAAAGGGAAAGUCCAGAGAACCAGGUGAGGGAACAGGAGGCAUGUUGCAGGCAGAGUGGCCGGAAUGGCAGUGUCUCCUCGGGUCUCCCCCUGCCUUGGCACUCCUGCUCAGAGAGCGGCCUUGGGCCAUGACUGGUGCCGAGAGCUCCCUCAAGAGCUCCCUCGGGCUUGGGCCGUGACUGGGAGCAGAGAGGAGAGCUCCCCCUCCUACAUGCCUGACGACCCCUGAGUUGGGUUUCUGACCCUUGUAACAUUUAUCACAAACACUAGGGCUUCAUAUUCUGUUGAUUUUCAUCUUAAAAAGGAUAAUGAACUUUUGUAAUUUCACCACAAAUUCAAGGAAUAAAAACUAAAGAUAUUGGUAGUGUCGCAAAUGCACACGUGAGAAGGAGGAAACCAGGAACUGCCUGGCCCUCGCUGCUGGGCCUCGGCGUUCUCCUGUUGAAUAGAAACAAUCUCGUAAAGCACCCACAUCAAACAAGGCCACUCUGUGGCUGUGAUGAAGUGAGACAAAGAACACAAGACCUUCUCCCUCUUAUAAUCUUGUUUAACUAUAGAUAGAAACAAGGCCAGUCUGCAGACAACAAAAAUACUAAACCUGCCCCCUACUGCUAAUAUGACCAACUGCUGCUGCUUUAUCAAUUACAUCUUUGGCCUUGUUUCAUACCUCCUGUCUUAUAAAUAAGAUUAAUUAAGAUACACAAUCAUAGAAUUGCCCCCACUUCCUGACACUUCUUUGAACCCUACCAAAAACUUAUAUGAUACAAUUCUCUAGGUCCUUUUUUUUUUUUUUUUCCAACGUUUAUUUAUUUUUUUGGGACAGAGAGAGACAGAGCAUGAAUGGGGUAGGGGCAGAGAGAGAGGGAGACACAGAAUCGGA
This is an RNA transcript of Prionailurus viverrinus (fishing cat), 4020 nucleotides long. It is a transcript of the gene named BRMS1 like transcriptional repressor, with no coding region annotated. The record is from RefSeq and is a predicted model, not a curated record. NCBI's taxonomy places the organism in Eukaryota, Metazoa, Chordata, Mammalia, Carnivora, Felidae. The transcript is spliced from 11 exons.